GCCAAGUGGAUCAAGGCAGUGGAUUGUGAAUCCACCAUGCGCGAAA
This 46-nucleotide transfer RNA is filed under the name Clinacanthus nutans. RNAcentral describes it as "partial tRNA-His". The record is from RNAcentral. Lineage: Eukaryota; Viridiplantae; Streptophyta; Magnoliopsida; Lamiales; Acanthaceae.